UGCCAGCAGCCGCGGUAAUACGGAGGGUGCAAGCGUUGUUCGGAUUUACUGGGCGUAAAGGGCGCGUAGGCGGUCUGUUAAGCUAGAGGUGAAAUCCCGGGGCUCAACCCCGGAACUGCUUCUGGAACUGGCAGACUAGAGAUAGGUAGAGGCAGGUGGAAUUCCAGGUGUAGAGGUGAAAUUCGUAGAUAUCGGGAGGAACACCAGUGGCGAAGGCGGCCACCUGGACGGUGACUGACGCUCAGACCCGAAAGCGUGGGGAGCAAACAGGAUUAGAUA
RNAcentral lists this ribosomal RNA (279 nucleotides) under uncultured bacterium. RNAcentral describes it as "partial 16S ribosomal RNA". It matches the Rfam family "Bacterial small subunit ribosomal RNA", at positions 506 to 784 of the family's 1533-position model. The record is from RNAcentral.